Molecule: long non-coding RNA, 2628 nt
Filed under: Parus major (Great Tit)
Lineage: Eukaryota; Metazoa; Chordata; Aves; Passeriformes; Paridae
Description: lncRNA (ENSPMJG00000016679.1)
Source: RNAcentral
UUCUCAGUUAGUACAUCUUAUAAACUUUCUACAAAUCAAGGUUACACACACCAAGAUAAGAAAUAACAGACACCAACUUCUUCAAAUGCCCACAAAGAUGUAGGAGUAUUCUCCACAGAGGGGCAGAGGGGGAGAGGUGGGGCUUGGUUUCCUGGUAACACAGGGGGGAAGAAAGGGAAGGCAAGGUAAGCAUGCCCUCUCAGCUUCCAUAGCUCACAGGCAUUCUGGGACAGGAAAAUAGAGUUACAAACUUCCGUGUUAGAAAGAAGGGUCUCCUGGGCUAAAGAAACUUCAAGCAGCUGGAAAUGCCAGCAGGGUCUUCUCUUUAGUCUAUCCGGCCUCUCGCCGUGGGGCUGAGGAGAGGAACUUCAGUAACCAUGGUAACUUGACACCAGCUGAAGCUGAUCCUGGGAAAUUCCGGAGAGGACACCGACCCCUUUCGCUCAGGGAGACGUGUGCUGGGUUCCCAUCUGGCUGCGAAAUCCUGUCUCUCUUCUGGCUGCUGACUCUUCUCUCGUUCCGUGUGUUCACUUCUCUUGGCGUGUAUGGGUUUGUUACCGACUCACUCCGUGUGACCAGUUCCUGCCCAUCUCUAAACGCAGGCAAAGUAUUCCUUCAGGGGUGCGAAGAGGUGGUGGAUUACUGGCACUCUCCAGGACCUGCUGAGCAGUUUCUGCCGGGCCAGGUGGCUCAUAUUGGACACGUCCGUGUAGUGCACGGGGAAGCCAAAGACCCUCUUCAUCUCCGUGCAACGCAGGAUGCCCUCCUUCUCGUUCAUGAACAUGGGGAAGUGCUGGUCCUUGCCCUGCUUGAUGGAGUUGGAGCUAGUGGUGAUGGUUCACACUUUGCUGAACUUUGCUAUCCUGCCGUGCUCCAGGCACUCCUGCAGCUCCAGCUUAUCACUGAUGGUGGAUGCCUGUUUAUGCCAGGCAGGUUCCCCCAGAAGUACCGUGCCCGGUGCGCUGCAGACACUUCUUUGGCAUCAAUGAUGACGGGAUUGGACUCCAGGAAGCGCGAGAUGUCCCUCUUGUCGCUCACUCCCAUGGCCACCACGUUCUCAAAGAGCCAGAAGAAGGGCUGGUCGUUACCCUCCUUGGGCCGGGCUUCAUGGAGCAGGUGGUAGAACUCAAAGAAGAGACGUUCAGUGCCCUCUUAGGGACCCUUCCUGGCCAGGUUGACAAUGGACAGGUCGUUGCAGGGGCUCCCCCCAGUCACCAGAUUAAAGGGGCCCCACUCUUGUAUGUGUUUCUGGGUGACGUUGCGGACGUCCCCGACGUACAUGAUCUUGCCUUGGUGCUUCACCAUGCCCACAAGUGAUAGAGUCCUCACACACCUCGGAGGCGAUGUCCCUGUCCACCUGGAUGCCCAGGUCCUUCAGCACUAGCAUGCCUGUGGAGAUGCCAUCGAAGAGUGAGAGCACCCAGAUGGGCUUCCUCUUCUCAGCGGCCAGUGGCGGGUACACCUUCGGUGGGUCAAACUCCUGGUACAAAAGAGGCACCCCUGGCAUCCAAAUCCUCUGUCUCGGUAUCACUGUCUCCAGACUGGCACCGCUCCAGCGCUUUAAAGAGCAUGCUCCAGGUGUCUGCCAGGCUGCACACGCUGGUAUCUCCUGCAGCUAACUCAGACUAUAGGCAGUCUCCCACUGACAACCAAAUUUCGAGGUCAAAGGCAUUAUCGACAGUCACAGUAAAACCUUGCGCUUUUACCCACGGGAACAAAGCACGCAUAGCAUCUUCAGAAAUAUUGAGUCCCAUGCGCGGCACGGCGUCCUGCCACGCAGAGAAGACAAGCUGAUCAUUAGUUGAAUUGCAGUUCCCCAUUGUGAGAACAGUCUAUCUUGACGGCCUGUGAAUGCAAAUUACGCAGACGCAGUGGCUUAACCCGGGACUUUAAGCUCUAGCUUCACCAAGAUAAGCCGUUCAAGCCCCCUCACUGGCAGGGCUCCACUAUCCCGUUGGUCUAAAAAACCAGCCCCCUCCAGGAGAGCCCGGGAGAUUCUUGUUUACCCUUCUGUGGGGGAAGCGGCUGGCUCAUCGACCGCUGGCUGCACUGACCCCCAGGGGGUCACCCGAUGCACAUCACGUCGGGGUCACCAGAUGUUGCUCUGUUGGGAACGGUGAAAGAACGACACAGACUCUCUUGUGGAGUCGAACUGGAGAAUUUUUUUCUCAGUUUAUUACCUCAGGUCUUUUUUAUAGACCGAUACGUGAAAAGUACAGAAAAGAAAACUUUUAUUGGUUAGUAAACUAACACAUCACCAUCACUGGUCAGUGGGGUUCACCACCCCUCGACUUUCUCUUGCAAGAAAACAAGGAACUGACAAACAGCACCUGCAAGGCUGUUUUCUGUCUCUGAGGAUUGUUUCAAUUCCUCCUUAUAAUUUUCCAGGCUACUUUCCCAGGCAAGACUGAGAAGGCUAUGUGGCCUGCAAUUUCCACAGGCACCGUGCUCCCUGUUUCACAGUUAGCAUCCAUAGCACACCACCUUAAUUAAAAGGGUUUUUAGUUUUGUUGGGUGUCUUUCUUGGGCAUUUUUAUUUUUUUAGACGUUUGGGGUUUGUUUUAUUUUGUUUUUUUGAGGAGGGGUAAGCAGAACACACUAAUGCAAUAAAAGUCCUUUGACACUGCA